AGAGUUUGAUCCUGGCUCAGGACGAACGCUGGCGGCGCGCCUAACACAUGCAAGUCGAACGAGCGAGAGAGAGCUUGCUUUCUUGAGCGAGUGGCGAACGGGUGAGUAACGCGUGAGGAACCUGCCUCAAAGAGGGGGACAACAGUUGGAAACGACUGCUAAUACCGCAUAAGCCCACGGCUCGGCAUCGAGCAGAGGGAAAAGGAGCAAUCCGCUUUGAGAUGGCCUCGCGUCCGAUUAGCUAGUUGGUGAGGUAACGGCCCACCAAGGCGACGAUCGGUAGCCGGACUGAGAGGUUGAACGGCCACAUUGGGACUGAGACACGGCCCAGACUCCUACGGGAGGCAGCAGUGGGGAAUAUUGCACAAUGGGGGAAACCCUGAUGCAGCGACGCCGCGUGGAGGAAGAAGGUCUUCGGAUUGUAAACUCCUGUUGUUGAGGAAGAUAAUGACGGUACUCAACAAGGAAGUGACGGCUAACUACGUGCCAGCAGCCGCGGUAAAACGUAGGUCACAAGCGUUGUCCGGAAUUACUGGGUGUAAAGGGAGCGCAGGCGGGAAGACAAGUUGGAAGUGAAAUCCAUGGGCUCAACCCAUGAACUGCUUUCAAAACUGUUUUUCUUGAGUAGUGCAGAGGUAGGCGGAAUUCCCGGUGUAGCGGUGGAAUGCGUAGAUAUCGGGAGGAACACCAGUGGCGAAGGCGGCCUACUGGGCACCAACUGACGCUGAGGCUCGAAAGUGUGGGUAGCAAACAGGAUUAGAUACCCUGGUAGUCCACACUGUAAACGAUGAUUACUAGGUGUUGGAGGAUUGACCCCUUCAGUGCCGCAGUUAACACAAUAAGUAAUCCACCUGGGGAGUACGACCGCAAGGUUGAAACUCAAAGGAAUUGACGGGGGCCCGCACAAGCAGUGGAGUAUGUGGUUUAAUUCGACGCAACGCGAAGAACCUUACCAAGUCUUGACAUCCCUUGACGAUGCUGGAAACAGUAUUUCUCUUCGGAGCAAGGAGACAGGUGGUGCAUGGUUGUCGUCAGCUCGUGUCGUGAGAUGUUGGGUUAAGUCCCGCAACGAGCGCAACCCUUAUGGUCAGUUACUACGCAAGAGGACUCUGGCCAGACUGCCGUUGACAAAACGGAGGAAGGUGGGGAUGACGUCAAAUCAUCAUGCCCUUUAUGACUUGGGCUACACACGUACUACAAUGGCGUUAAACAAAGAGAAGCAAGACCGCGAGGUGGAGCAAAACUCAGAAACAACGUCCCAGUUCGGACUGCAGGCUGCAACUCGCCUGCACGAAGUCGGAAUUGCUAGUAAUCGCAGAUCAGCAUGCUGCGGUGAAUACGUUCCCGGGUCUUGUACACACCGCCCGUCA
RNAcentral lists this ribosomal RNA (1370 nucleotides) under uncultured bacterium. RNAcentral's name for it is "bacterial SSU rRNA". It matches the Rfam family "Bacterial small subunit ribosomal RNA". The record is from RNAcentral.